UUCUCCCAUUGCUUGUUAUGUUAUGUUGGAUUCACAUGUUGCUUUACUGUUAUGUUGAACUCCUAAACUCUUUCUCAAAUAACUUCAUCAUCUAUAUAUGUUCAUGACAACAAAAACUAAUUAAAAUGGAGAUGAUUAUUUUAAUUUGUCGUUAUUUAUAUAAAAAAAUACACCAAUUUAUUUAUUUUUUAUGCAAUUAUUGUAAAUGAAUUGGAUAUAAGAAAAGACGGGGUUAC
Molecule: long non-coding RNA, 236 nt
Filed under: Medicago truncatula (barrel medic)
Lineage: Eukaryota; Viridiplantae; Streptophyta; Magnoliopsida; Fabales; Fabaceae
Description: long non-coding RNA (MTRU_LNC000596)
Source: RNAcentral